GAUGAACGCUAGCUACAGGCUUAACACAUGCAAGUCGAGGGGUAACGAGAGGGAAGCUUGCUUUCCUUGUCGACGACCGGCGCACGGGUGAGUAACGCGUAUCCAACCUGCCCCCAACUAAGGAAUAACCUUGCGAAAGUAAGACUAAUACCUUAUAAUUUCCUCAGAUGACAUCUGACGAGGAAUAAAGAUUUAUCGGUUGUGGAUGGGGAUGCGUCUGAUUAGCUUGUUGGCGGGGUAACGGCCCACCAAGGCAACGAUCAGUAGGGGUUCGGAGAGGAAGGUCCCCAACAUUGGGACUGAGACACGGUCCAAACUCCUACGGGAGGCAGCAGUGAGGAAUAUUGGUCAAUGGGCGGAGGCCUGAACCAGCCAAGUAGCGUGCAGGAUGACGGACCUAUGGGUUGUAAACUGCUUUUAUACAGGAAUAAAGUUAGCCACGUGUGGUUAUUUGUAGGUACUGUAUGAAUAAGGACCGGCUAAUUCCGUGCCAGCCGCCGCUGUAA
Molecule: ribosomal RNA, 506 nt
Filed under: uncultured bacterium
Lineage: Bacteria
Description: partial 16S ribosomal RNA
Rfam family: Bacterial small subunit ribosomal RNA
Source: RNAcentral